This 1034-nucleotide long non-coding RNA is filed under the name Manihot esculenta (cassava). RNAcentral describes it as "long non-coding RNA (MESC_LNC000028)". Lineage: Eukaryota; Viridiplantae; Streptophyta; Magnoliopsida; Malpighiales; Euphorbiaceae. The record is from RNAcentral.
GCUUCCCAAAACAAACAAGAAAAACCCAUCAAUGUCCUUUCCUUCGUCCUCUCAACCUCAAACCCAAAACCCUCAACCCAUCUUACCUAGCAACCCUGGCUCUCUCAACUCCAUACCCAUAUCCACCUCUGGUAUUCUCCCUAAACCUCUACCCUUAACCUUGCACACCAUAUACCUAGAAAAUUUCCCAACCUCGUGUGACGAUGCCUUCCUGCUGAAGAUAAAAUCCAAUUAUGUGAAGAUUUCAGACGUUUAUGUGGCAAGAAAGCUCAACAAGAAAGGUAAGUGUUUCGCUUUCUUGUGGGUCUUCUCAAUCUCUGAUAUGCUUUUCCUUCUCAAAACUUUGAAUCUCCUUUGGAUCGGUACAUACAAAUUAAAAGCUUUCAAGUCAAGGUUUAUGAAAAAUCACAAUGGCAGAAAUCAAAAUCAGCUUUCUCACCAAAGCUUGUGCAAGACUAGGCUGCUUCAAAACUUGAGAAACAUUUGCAUUUUCAUUAUCCCCAAGUCCCGUUCCUGUAAAAAGAAACCUAAAUCAACAGCUCCUUUUGAUAUAUGCCCAUGGUAUAGAUGAUGUGAACCAAAAAUAUACCUCGUGUGGAUGUUACCAGAUUCUAGAAAAGUUGAAAGCUUCAAACGAAGAAUGGCUUGCUCGAUCAGUGGCAACUAUUAUCGAUCCUGACCUCAUACACACUUUGCAUGCUUCCUUCACUCGAGAAGGAGUCUUCUCUAUUGCAGAUCAUGGAGGCUUUCCUUAGCAAAUUCAAAGAAAUCAGUUUGGGUCCAGCUUUAUGAAACUCCUUUACAUGUCUGGUCUCCUCAUUUUUUGAAUGAUUAGGGAAGAAAUUAGGAGCUUUUGUGGAUUGCGCCAGAGUUAAUGUUAUCACUGAUAGCUUUGAUCAUAUAAAUAAAACAUUGGCUGUAGAAAUUGGUAAUUCCAGAUUUCAUAUUGUAGCUUUUGAAGAAAUUAGUGAAUCUUCUUCUCUGGUUACUUGUUGUAAAUUGUUCAAUCGGAAAGCUCCUAACUUUAGUUCAGA